This 498-nucleotide ribosomal RNA is filed under the name uncultured bacterium. RNAcentral describes it as "partial 16S ribosomal RNA". It matches the Rfam family "Bacterial small subunit ribosomal RNA", at positions 28 to 507 of the family's 1533-position model. The record is from RNAcentral.
GACGAACGCUGGCGGCGUGCCUAAUACAUGCAAGUCGAACGAGAGCGACCGGUGCUUGCACUGGUCAAUCUAGUGGCGAACGGGUGAGUAACACGUGGGUAACCUGCCCAUCAGAGGGGGAUAACAUUCGGAAACGGAUGCUAAAACCGCAUAGGUCCUUUAACCGCAUGGUUGAAGGAGGAAAAGAGGCGCAAGCUUCUGCUGAUGGAUGGACCCGCGGUGCAUUAGCUAGUUGGUGAGGUAACGGCUCACCAAGGCCGUGAUGCAUAGCCGACCUGAGAGGGUGAUCGGCCACAUUGGGACUGAGACACGGCCCAAACUCCUACGGGAGGCAGCAGUAGGGAAUCUUCCGCAAUGGACGCAAGUCUGACGGAGCAACGCCGCGUGAGUGAAGGAGGUUUUCGGAUCGUAAAACUCUGUUGUUAGAGAAGAACAAGUGCUAGAGUAACUGUUAGCGCCUUGACGGUAGCUAACCAGAAAGCCACGGCUAACUACGUG